AGAGAUGUGUGAUGACGCAUAUCAAUAAGCGGAGGAAAAGAAACUAACAAGGAUUCCCUUAGUAACGGCGAGUGAAGCGGGAAGAGCUCAAAUUUGAAAUCUUCAAGGUUCUACCUUGACGAAUUGUAGUUUAUAGAAGUGUUUUCUGUUAGUGGAGUGGCAAAAGUUCUUUGGAAUAGGACAUCAUAGAGGGUGAGAAUCCCGUAUUUGGUCAUUCCUCCUAGCGUUGUGAUACACUUUCAACGAGUCGGAUUGUUUGGGAAUGCAGUCCAAAAUGGGUGGUAAAUUUCAUCUAAAGCUAAAUAUUGGCGAGAGACCGAUAGCGAACAAGUACCGUGAGGGAAAGAUGAAAAGAACUUUGAAAAGAGAGUUAAACAGUACGUGAAAUUGUCAAAAGGGAAGCGUUUGACACCAGUGUUGUUUUUCCGAAAAUCAAUUACGAAUGUUUUAUUUUUGAGAAGUUAUGACUUCAUCGGCUUGCUUCUCUCUUUAUGAAACUUUCUUAAUGCACUUUUCGGUUAACAAGUCAACAUCAAUUUCUCUUGUUGUAAAAGGGUUAUGAGGAAGGUGGCUUUACUUUUCGGAGUAAAGUGUUUAUAGCCUUUGUACCUCUGCAAUCGGAGAGAUUGAGGUCUGCAGCGUAGAUCCUUCGGGGUUAGAUACAUUUGUGCUAAGUUAUAGCUUUUCAUAGACAACUUGUUGACUAUGUUUAGUCUUGUAGCUUACUCGCUUAUGCUAUUUUACCUACGCUUAGGAUGUUGAAGAUGUAGCACAUCAU
RNAcentral lists this ribosomal RNA (778 nucleotides) under uncultured Neocallimastigales. RNAcentral's name for it is "partial large subunit ribosomal RNA". It matches the Rfam family "Eukaryotic large subunit ribosomal RNA", at positions 23 to 643 of the family's 3401-position model. Lineage: Eukaryota; Fungi; Neocallimastigomycota; Neocallimastigomycetes; Neocallimastigales. The record is from RNAcentral.